RNAcentral lists this ribosomal RNA (440 nucleotides) under uncultured bacterium. RNAcentral describes it as "partial 16S ribosomal RNA". It matches the Rfam family "Bacterial small subunit ribosomal RNA", at positions 338 to 795 of the family's 1533-position model. The record is from RNAcentral.
CCUACGGGUGGCAGCAGUGGGGGAGAUUGCACAAUGGGGGAAACCCUGAUGCAGCGACGCCGCGUGUAGGAAGACGGUCCUCUGGAUUGUAAACUACUGUCCCCAGGGACGAAGAUGACGGUACCUGGGGAGGAAGCCCCGGCUAACUACGUGCCAGCAGCCGCGGUAAUCAGUAGGGAGCGAGCGUUGUCCGGAAUUACUGGGUGUAAAGGGAGCGUAGGCGGGGAGGCAAGUUGGGUGUUAAAUCUACCGGCUCAACUGGUAGUCGCACUCAAAACUGCAGCUCUUGAGUGAAGUAGAGGCAGGCGGAAUUCCUAGUGUAGCGGUGAAAUGCGUAGAUAUUAGGAGGAACACCAGUGGCGAAGGCGGCCUGCUGGGCUUUUACUGACGCUGAGGCUCGAAAGUGUGGGGAGCACACAGGAUUAGAUACCCCAGUAGUC